This 253-nucleotide ribosomal RNA is filed under the name uncultured bacterium. RNAcentral describes it as "partial 16S ribosomal RNA". It matches the Rfam family "Bacterial small subunit ribosomal RNA", at positions 524 to 776 of the family's 1533-position model. The record is from RNAcentral.
UACGUAGGUGGCAAGCGUUGUCCGGAUUUAUUGGGUUUAAAGGGUGCGUAGGCGGCUUUGUAAGUCAGUGGUGAAAUAUGUCAGCUUAACUGAGAGGGUGCCAUUGAUACUGCAGAGCUUGAGUACAGAUGAGGUAGGCGGAAUUGACGGUGUAGCGGUGAAAUGCUUAGAUAUCGUCAAGAACACCGAUAGCGAAGGCAGCUUACUAGACUGUAACUGACACUGAGGCACGAAAGUGUGGGGAUCAAACAGG